This 685-nucleotide ribosomal RNA is filed under the name Triticum aestivum (bread wheat). RNAcentral describes it as "partial small subunit ribosomal RNA". Lineage: Eukaryota; Viridiplantae; Streptophyta; Magnoliopsida; Poales; Poaceae. The record is from RNAcentral.
AACACCAGGCGCCGGAACGUCAACAGCGACGAGAUCGACUGCCUCCCGAGUCGCGCGCCCCCCGCGUUCCCUUCCGGCGACCGCCCCGCCCCCCAACUUCUUCUGAACUUCUCCAACCUCCUCCCUAGUCUAGAGCUUUGAGUCCAGGCCCCUGCACCAAAAAAUCAGCGUCCACUCCUAUGGAAAUUCUUCUCCAAAAUCUUCCGGCAAUGUGGGCAUCCAGUCGCGGAGAGAUUUUGCGGAGCGCUGCAUUCCGUCGUCGUCGACCCCGUGGCCGUGGGCAACCAGGCAGCUGAUGUAGAUACAUCCUGAGCGGUAGUGCUAUUCUACUGUCCGCAUUGCAGAUAUAUGGUUGGUGAUUUGCCACUUGUUAAAUUACAUGAUGAGAUGACAUGAGCUGUGAAAAAGGAGCGAGCAGGACACAAUAAAGAUGAUGUCCUGACUUCAUUUUUGGGACGUGUUUUCUCAGUAACUAUCUUGUUCUUGCUCAUUUUGUUGAAAGAUGGUCUUGUGUUCUGUGAAGAUGUGAACAAAAAUAUGUAUUCACAACAAAGAACACAAAGAUGUUGUGGUGAUGUAAAGUCCGCCCCAGCAUCUGUAGUUUUCCAGAUUGCUAUCAAUAUUUUUGUAAUCUUAACGGUGGCUUUGAUGCAAUUUAUUUCUGUAGAUGUAUAAAACCUGUUCG